UAUAUUAAUUGCAUUUUCCAUUUUAGGAACCAUUACGAGCACUAUGUGGUUAUCCUAAUCAUGUCAUGAAAACACGUUCAUCAAGGGAGAGGAAACCAAGUAAAUUCAAGGUCUCCCCGUUUGUACACAAAUUAAGGAAGAUGGUAAAACACGAAGCAUCAGAGUGAGGUUCUUGUUGACUUUGGUCAUGAACAUGGAGUUCGUGGAGAUUUUCACUGCUUACGUCCUAGACAAAAUUUGUUCGAUGUUGUAAUAAAUCUAGAAGCCUCAAAGCUAAAUUAUUUUGAAA
This is a long non-coding RNA of Vitis riparia (riverbank grape), 289 nucleotides long. RefSeq lists it as uncharacterized. The transcript is spliced from 3 exons. Lineage: Eukaryota; Viridiplantae; Streptophyta; Magnoliopsida; Vitales; Vitaceae. The record is from RefSeq and is a predicted model, not a curated record.